AUUUUCUUUCUUUAAAAUGUAAUUUAAAAAUAAAUUCCAGCAAUCAAAAAAUUUAGGACUCAUUAUUGGAGGCACACAUUUUCAUUAAAUAAAUGCAAAAAAACCAAUACACAAUAGUUGCAUUGAGUAAAUCUGGAUUUUUUUAUUCCACUUCUAUGGUGUGUAUUCACAUCAAUGGACCUCACUGGGUUAAUGUGGUAUUAAAGAUCAGUUUCCUAUGCAUGCUUGACACAUAUCAGCCAUCUAUUAUAUAUACAGUAUAUUUAUAUCCAGAAAAUGCAUUUUGCUUUGUUUUUUUGCUCAAAAUUUUGAGCAAAACAAAAAGACUAACUUUAAACUUCCAUUUGUAAAUUUCUCUUUUAGUUCCUCUGCUU
Molecule: long non-coding RNA, 374 nt
Filed under: Androctonus crassicauda
Lineage: Eukaryota; Metazoa; Arthropoda; Arachnida; Scorpiones; Buthidae
Source: RNAcentral